GGAAGUGAAGAACAAAUAGAAUUGUGAAUCAAGGCUUUAAUGUUUUGACAUCAUGUACCUUAUUUUGCUUAUUGAUAUUCUGAUUCCA
Molecule: non-coding RNA, 88 nt
Organism: Brassica rapa (field mustard)
Lineage: Eukaryota; Viridiplantae; Streptophyta; Magnoliopsida; Brassicales; Brassicaceae
Source: Rfam